This 120-nucleotide ribosomal RNA is filed under the name uncultured bacterium. RNAcentral describes it as "partial 16S ribosomal RNA". It matches the Rfam family "Bacterial small subunit ribosomal RNA", at positions 28 to 148 of the family's 1533-position model. The record is from RNAcentral.
GAUGAACGCUAGCGGCAGGCCUAACACAUGCAAGUCGAGGGGUAGGGGGUGCUUGCACCCCUGAGACCGGCGCACGGGUGCGGAACGCGUAUGGAACCUGCCCCUGUCAGGGGAAUAGCC